AGUGAACGCUGGCGGUAGGCCUAACACAUGCAAGUCGAACGGCAGCACAGUAAGAGCUUGCUCUUACGGGUGGCGAGUGGCGGACGGGUGAGGAAUAUAUCGGAAUCUACUUUUUCGUGGGGGAUAACGUAGGGAAACUUACGCUAAUACCGCAUACGACCUACGGGUGAAAGCAGGGGAUCUUCGGACCUUGCGCGAUUGAAUGAGCCGAUGUCGGAUUAGCUAGUUGGCGGGGUAAAGGCCCACCAAGGCGACGAUCCGUAGCUGGUCUGAGAGGAUGAUCCGCCACACUGGAACUGAGACACGGUCCAGACUCCUACGGGAGGCAGCAGUGGGGAAUAUUGGACAAUGGGCGCAAGCCUGAUCCAGCCAUACCGCGUGGGUGAAGAAGGCCUUCGGGUUGUAAAGCCCUUUUGUUGGGAAAGAAAAGCAGCAGGUUAAUACCCCGCUGUUCUGACGGUACCCAAAGAAUAAGCACCGGCUAACUUCGUG
Molecule: ribosomal RNA, 492 nt
Filed under: uncultured bacterium
Lineage: Bacteria
Description: partial 16S ribosomal RNA
Rfam family: Bacterial small subunit ribosomal RNA
Source: RNAcentral